CUCCUCUUUAAAGCGUCUCAAAACUGUGAUUUCUUCUGCAGCUCCUGGACUGAUAAACUGCAGAAACUCUGAGUUGUGUUUGUUGAUGGAAGAUGUUUCUGUGCUCAGAUGAAUAAACGACAGAGACACACAGAAACUCUGGAUGAAAACCUUCAGGAGCCCCCCAGUCAGACUGUCCCCCCCUGUUCUGUCUUUCCUGUUUUUCUAACAGGUCUGUGAUUCUUCUCUCUCUCAGCCCGGGUUUGUCGGGGAUUUCUCUUUGCCUGAUAUGAAACUUUCCCUUUCAGUCAGUUUCACCUGCUGCUGCCCUCCACACUCUCUCAGUGUCCUCAGUGUCCUGAAUCAGUUCACAAACAUUUAUUGAGUGUUACACUCAAUAAAUGUUUGUGAACUGAGGAGACGAACUGUUGAAGCUUUGAAGGUGGAAUUCUUUCCCAUUCUUGCUUGAUGUACAGCUUCAGUUGCUCAACAGUCUGGGGUCUCUGUUGUCCUAUUUUACGCUUCAUAAUGCUCCACACAUUUUCAAUGGGAGACAGGUCUGGACUGCAGGCAGGCCAGUCGAGUACCCGCACUCUUUAACUACAAAGCCACGCUGUUGUAACAUGUGCAGAAUGUCCGUCCAUGAAAAAGACGUUGCUUGGAUGUAGGGCUGAAACGAUUACUCGAGUAACUCGAUUAAUAAAAUUCCUCGAGGCAAAUUAUAUGCCUCGAGGAAUCGUUUAAAUCCGGAACCAUGUGCAGCGCACGGUGUUUGACACGGAUGGUUAUUUCUGUUGCGCAGCAGCGUGCUCUUUCCGCUCCUUCCGCUGCCGCGCGUUUCAUAGACAUAAUAAAAGGGUAGACCCCGCUGGGGGUGCUGCGCAGCGAGAAAUGCGGCCGCCAUCUUGGUCAGGUCAAGCUUCCCAUACGCUCCGGUCAAUCAUAUUCAUUCAUUCAGCGAUGCCGGAGCACUGUGCGGCGUAUUCCUGUGCCAACAGGCGGACAGCAGAGAACAGGGCUCAAGAAAUAACUUUUCACAGUUAUGAUUAAACAUUUUUUAAACAUUACACUUGACUGUAGAGUCAUUUGUAGGCCAAAGAGGAAGACUAUCGGUCAACUCCAAAAAGGAAACAGCAUUUGCGAACAGCUGGCUUAUUCACAAUAAUAGCAACUUUGGUCGAUUAUCAACAGAUUUGCAUUAGAUUGAAAAACUUUUGUUUGAGAGAGGUUCUAAGAAACGUUAAGAAAUAAAAUAGAAAGAAAAAGGAAGAAAGUGAGCUCUGUUUUAUUAUCUGUUUUAUUAAAGAUUUCUUUGUGGUGAUCUCCUGUUUCAUUUUGAAGAUUUCCUAAGGACAAAAACUUGAGGAAGAAGUGGGAGAUUGCUGUUAGAGGGAGAAAUUCGCAGCAAGUGAUUCCUCUGUGCUGUGUAGCCAACAAGCAAAUUGAUAUGUAGUUUAGAUGCUGUCCUGUCAUGCUGUUCUUGUGUUUAAAUCUUUUUGAUAUGUAGGCUAUAUAUUUGUGUGUAUUUUCCAGUUAUUAAAAUAGUGCUCCUAUAUGACAUUAUUUGUGUGUGUCUACAAAUGGAUAAAUAAAAUUAAACUAUAUAAAAAAUUAUAAUCAAAUCAAUAUAUAUUGAAUUGGCCUAUUAAAACCGCCAGUUAUUAAUAAUUAUUGAGACAUAGCAGGAACCUAGCUCUAAACCUAAAUAUAUCCUUGAUUAAUUGUUAUACUAUAAUACAGCCACUGCUGCCAUGUUCUAAAAUAUCAUUUUAUUCAUUCUGAGUAUUUGAAAACGCCAAAAAAAAAUAUGGCCUCUAUCAUGCCUCUUUGAAUGGCGUUUGCAGAGAAGAAAAUUACGUAGUAUUGAGCGAACUAUGAUUCAUUAAUGCGCUCAGACUUCAUUCCGCCGGUUAAACAGCGGUGCAGAGUGAGGCGGAUGACCGGACCAAGAUGGCGGCCGCAUUUCUCGACAGCGCCCAUUCGUGGUAGCGGCCGAUGCGGGGUCUAUCUUUUAUUAUGUCUAUGGCGCGUUUGGUUCAAUCAUGGAGGGAAACGAGGACAGACAGAGAGAGGAAGAAAGAGAUGACACGCAGAGGAAACGGCAGAAAGUGUCUAAAGUGUGGGACCAUUACACACUGAAAAGGAAAGAAAAUGCCGUGCAGUGCGUUCACUGUAAGGCGGAGUUGGCGUUUCACAACAGCACGUCGUCAAUGCUGCAGCACCUUAAAAGAAAACACCCGGUUCAUGCAUUAAGUCCGCUCUGAGGCAAACGUGAUUCAAUGCAAAGUAUUACAGUGAGAGCAAAACAUUUCUUAUCCGAUUACUCGAUUACUCGACAGAUUAAUCGAUAGAGUACUCGAUUACUAAAAUAAUCGAUAGCUGCAGCCCUACUUGGAUGGCAGCAUGUUGCUCUAAAACCUGUGUGUACCUUUCAGCAUUAAUGUUGCUUUCAGAGAUGUGUAAGUUACCCAUGCCUUGGGCACUAAUGCACCCCCAAACCAUCACAGACGCUGGCUUUUGAACUCUGCGUCUACAACAGUCCGGAUGGUUCUUUUCUGCUUUGGCCCGAAUGACACGACGUCCACUGUUUCCAAAAACGAUCUGAAAUGUGGACUCGUCAGACCACAGAACACUUUUCCACUUUGCAUCAGUCCAUCUUACAUGAGCUCGGGCCCAGAGAAGCCAGCGGCGUUUCUGGAUGUUGUUGAUAAAUGGCUUUGGCUUUGCGUAGUAGAGUUUUAACUUACAGAUGUAGAGAUGAACUGUAUUUACUGACAGUGGUUUUCUGAAGUGUUCCUGAGCCCAUGUGGUCAUAUCCUUUACACAAUGAUGUCAGUUUUUGAUACAGUGCCACCUGAGGGGUCGAAGGUCACGGGCAUUCAAAGUUGGUUUCCGGCCGUGUCGCUUAUGUGCAGUGAUUUCUCCAGAUUCUCUGAACCUUUUGAUGAUAUUAUGGACUGUAGUUGAAAUCUCUAAAUUCUUUACAAUUGUACUUUGAGAAACGUUGUUCUUAAACUGUUCGACUAUUUGCUCACGCAGUUGUUCACAAAGUGGUGAACCUCGCCCCAUCCUUGCUUGUGAAUGACUGAGAAUUUUUGGCGAAGCUGCUUUUAUACCCAAUCAUGACACCCACCUGUUCCCUAUUAGCCUGCUCACCUGUGGGAUGGUCCAAACAGGUGUUUGAUGAGCAUUCCUCAAAUUUCUCACCUGUCCCGACUUCUUUGUCACGUGUUGCUGCCAUCAGAUUCUGUAUUAAAUUGAAUAUAGGUUAGAAAUCAUUUGCAAAUCGUUGCUGUAAGAAAAAUUGUAUGUGUAUGCUAUCACGUGUAUUUUAUCAUAAUGUAAGUAUUUUACUCAUCAUUUACUGAAAAUCACUUGGUGUGAAUGCUUGCAGAAUCAUAUCUGUUUCUUUUUAAUGAGCAUGGGAAAGGAGAAGUAUGGCCUUAGAGUUGGGACUUAUACUUUUCCACUUUUAUGAAUCACCUCUCCCAGAUCUGUCUCCCAAAUAGUUUUAAAGGUCCCCUAUUAUGAAAGAUCCACUUUUGGGGUGGUUUUCUACCAAUAAUAUGCAUACCGGACAUGAAAAAAUUUCAUUCUCUCCCACUCUUGCUUUCCCCUCCUUUCUGAAAACAUGAGCGCAAACGGGCGGAUGGAAAAGCUGUGCGGUUAUGAUGAACUUAAACCCGAUGCUGUGCAAAAAAUAAAAAUGCAUCAAAGUUAAUUUUGUUGCUUAUAUUUGACAUACCCAAGGGUGUGAUAGCAUGUAAAAAAUCUUCAGCCUCUCAUUACUUUUUAUAUUGAAAUUCUGUCAUUUUGUGUGAUUUUUUCUCUUUCCAUCAAAUCAGUGACAUCGCCUCUUAAUUUGGCAUUUAAUUUGGCAUUUAAGGGUUAAAAUUCAUAAUGAAAUAAUAAUAAAAAAUGUUAUGAUAAGGACUGAGCUUUGAAUAGAUUUGAGCAAAAAAAAUUGUCUGGUAUGUUUUUAUAGCAGCUAAAGUAAGUGACCCAAAACAGCCACAACGCAACCAAAGGUAGUAAAUCUGUAAACAGUGCAUUUAAAAAUUUUGAAAGAGAAAAUUAAAAAUAUACGUCAAAUUAAACUUCUUUACCAAAAAUGAUUUCACUCUCUAAAAAAUAGCGAGUAUUUUGGUCAAAAAAGUGAGUAUUUUGCCCCCUACUGGCUAAAAAAAGCCACAAGGUGACACAAGGGUUAACAAACUUCUGAAAAUAAACAUUCAUAGAAAUGGAGGCAUGAUCCAAAACAACAAUUGAGUCAUAUUUGCAGCCAGAAAUGUUGGAUAACAAUUUAUUAUUCACUAGAAAAAAAAUCAAUUCAAGUGUAAGUAUGAUGAAUAUGAAAGAAAAAAAAGAGUAUUCCCUUUUAUCUGGAUCGAAAAAACGCCAAGGGUUAACAACAUUAACCUUGUUCAUAAAGGCUUGAAUCACUUUGGUCGACUUGGAUUGGGAAGAAUGGUUUAAGUAUGGAUUAAUCCAGCAGUUGAAGUCUCCACCUAAGAUUAAAUCAUACAUGGACAAGUCAGGUAGCAUUGAGAAAACCUGUCUAAAAAAGACUCAUCAUCCCAGUUGGGGUCAUAAAAAUGUGUCCUAUGACCUGCAAUAAACCUGCCACCAGAAUCAGACAUUGUCUCAAUAUAAACAAAAGGAAUAUCAAAAGGAUUUGGCUCCCCCCUGUGGACCGAAGCAGAGAGAGCAUCAAAGAUAACAAAAGGUAAAAGGAGGAGAGGAGGAAAUAAGGAAGGAGGGAAGGAGAAAACAAAAGAGAGGGGAAGGAAACAAAAGAAGGGAGGAUGAAAUAAGGGAGGAGAAAGGAGGAAUAGAGGUAGUUCAGGCAGGUCGCUGAGUCAAGCUGAUCUUAAACCAGCCCUCAGUUAGCUUACAGCUCAGGUGAUCGCCCUCUACACAUCCUAUUGGCUAAUGUCAAAAUGGCGCCCUAUUUAAACUGCUUCUCCUGUCUACUCUGCCUGCUGCAAUUCUGCCUUUUUGCUUUUUCCUACCUUGCUCUUCAUCAUGUCGAUCCCUGCCCACGACAAGGAUCCACGGCAGAUUGACUGCUUUCUGAAACGCAGCACCAGCAUGUGAGGUCGAGGAAGCCAGUCCUUGCAAUGACAGAUGCGUUUCCUUCUGCACGAGCUCUCCUCUGGCAAGUAAAACUUUUAUUUCUCCCAGCUUCAUGAAGUCCAGGCUCCUAGAAGUCCUUUAUAGAUAACAUCACAGCUCCCGGUGGUGCCUCACAUCAAUAUCCACAUAGAGCCCCCACUUGCAGUUCUCUCUUCCUCCUCUGUAUCCAGAAAAGCGACCGAGAAAAGAAAACGCUGUUCCCGCCGCGUCACGGCAGUUCAGCUUCAGCCGCCGCGUCAUCGCCGCCGCCCGCAGAGCGCGAGGCCCAACCCCAGCCACCAGAGCCGCGGACGUGGACGACAAUCCCAUCCUGAAAGCACUAUCCAGCAUCCAGCCAUCGCUCGCCCACAUGUCUUCGAGGAUCGAAGCCCCAGAAUCCGGUUCGGCACGUGCUAAGCUGUCCUCCUUCAUCCCAGCUGUCACCUUCCUUCACCGCGCUGAACGAUGACGUCACUCCAGCGACAACCGACGACAGCGUCACGAUCCCGCCAAAGACCCUGGGAAGUGCAGUCCCCGUCUCCAUCGGCGUCCCAUUCUUCCCUCCCGCGGCUGCAAUUACACCGAAUCUGCGGAGCCAAAUCCUCGAAGGUACCGACAUUAAUCUUGUAAAGAAUCUUGCUGUGCUCCGACUACAAUGAUAGACGCAUUGUGGAUUGCGGAGAUGAGUCUGUGAUGCUUAAAUAUCGUGAUGCGCGUCUGUUUAAAUCUCCGACCUUAGCUGAAUUCAUGUAGCUUUCUGCGUAUUUGGAAAUGUCAUAUGUGAAGUGUUUUCAGCACGCAGAACUGAACUGGACACAUAUCUUGCCAUUAUUUCUGAUUCAGACAUGACUUAUGGAAGAAUAUUAUUCUAGGAAUCUCACAAAUCAUUUUCAGCAAAGCUGCUAAGUACAUUCAAAGAUUCAACCAGACUUGAUUAGUCCGUAGGCGACCUGGCUCAACUCGACUUAGCAUCAAGCUUUUUCUUGCUCAAGCUGUGGGUCUUCCUCUCACACCCAGAGUAAGCCAGGAAGCAGGUAUGCAGCGGUACACAGCAGUACGCUGUUAAAUAGAUAAAUGAUUAUUAAAUAAACAAAUAAAUAGAUUUUAUGUUCAAGAGAGGGAGAGAGAGAUGCAGCAGAUGAUGGUACUGUGGCAUCAGAGUCGGCGCCUCGCUAAAUGUGGGUAUACUCCUCUUGUUCAAAGCCUAUGGGCACAGUACAUGCAAGAACCUUAUCCUACAUUAACUAAGGUGACCAGACGUCCCCGAUUUCCGGGGACAGUCCCCGAAUUGGAUGACCUGUCCCUGGAAAAAGCUGUCCCCGAAAAUGGGUAAGGAAGCACAAGUAAGCAGUCCUGAACAACAGUUGUUACGGGAGUUAUUACAAGGCCGAAUGUCCCCUGGUUUCAUUACAGAAAUCUGGUCACCUUAAUAUUAACCCCUGCUCACACCUCCAAUCUGUGCCCUAAAACUGUGGCUACAGGCCAACCGCCAAGCUUUUUCUAAGCCUACAUCACUUCAAGGCCAAGUUACUGCAGGGACGGUUAUCUAAAAAACAGCACGCCCAAGAUGCACCCGCCUUGUAAAAAAGGAGAAUACAGCUGUCUACUCCGUCAAAUGUCCCUGAGCUGGGGAAGGCACUGGCAAAGCAUCCCAACCACUGUUUGUGAAUUAUUUGAUAACAGGACUGGUUCAGGGGUUCCUAGCAUAGUUGAUGGAGAGGAGGUAGAGAAGUAAGAGGACAUGCUCGAGAGGCAGUUCAUCUACCGGAAAGAGAACUUGGCAUAUUAAUUUUCCUUGCGCGUCAUGCCUCAGGGGCGGUCCUUUAUAUCUAGACUUUUCAACCUUGCCAAAUCAGUGGAGAAACUCCAUGAUAGAGUAAGUUUAGAUGAAGGUUGCAGAUCCAAACUGCGGUUUGGUCACUUCUGUGUAAAAAUGGAAAGGCAUCUCAUUCUCUUAUAGUGACUAUCAGGAAUCUUCUCCUGUGAUUUAAGCUAUUUAUAGUCACAGCACCAUAUGUUGGUUUUGGGGGGUUUUAAUAAUCAGUGGUUGCUGAUGUUUGGCCGAAUGAACUGUCUUCUCUGCCAAAAAAUGUGUCUUCAACUGCUUUAAUGUUUUAAGGGUAACCUAUACUACACAAGCUUUUGGAGGUGGGUAGGAUGCUUCAUAGUUUCUUGCUGCUGGCUGCUGCUCUGCUGUUGCCUGGUAUGGUUGUUCUGGGGGGCUUUUUUGCUGCUGUUUUCCCUGCCUCGGCUUCCAUGUGCUACAUGAAAGCUGAGAGGGUCGCCUUGUAUGGUGUUUUGGGGGAUUUCGAUUUAUUUAUCUUAAUCGUAUUUAUGUGCUGCUGCUUUCUCUGCCUUGGCUUUUCAUGUUUGCACAUGAAAGGGAGGGGAGGAACUGUCCCCUCUUGUAGCCGUGGCAUUCCAUGCAAGCGCAUGGAAGAGCAGAGAACUCUCAGAACAGAGAUAUGCCGCCAGUGUAAAAUAUGUUUGAUUGUAAUUAGUGCUGGGCGAUGGGACGAUAGAUAUCGUGGGCACGAUAGAAAAUGUCUAUCGUGCCAUUUUUAUUUUUAUCGUUUCGGGCGAUAGGCUGUAUUUUAUCCAUAGGGCUUGUGCCAUCAGAUGAUUCAUAGUAACAACAACAAUAAUUGCACAUUCAGUAAGUGUAUUUGGUGUCGAACGGGAAAGAAAACAAUAUUUUCUUGCAAAGAAAAGGAUGCGUUGACAUGUAGGCUCGCAUUUCUCUUUCGAUUUUGCGACAUGACGCCGCUUUACGUGCCCUCUUCGUGUCCAGCGUCUCCCGCCGUUGCGGGUUACCUGGGUUACACACGUGAGGGGAUCAUUGUAAGCAGUGCUUAAUUUGUGCCGGAGCAAGUCGGAGCGCGAUCCAGGACCUCUUUUGAUCGGAUCCGGGACCUAUUUCAGCCGCUCCGGCACCUGUUUCAUCUGCUCCGGGACCUUCCCUGUAGAGGAUGACAUUUUUCGGGAAUUCCUGUGGGUCACGUGAUUCCCGCAGGACUCCCACGGGAUGGGAGUCAUUUUUUAAUUAAUCCCUUGAUCGGGACGGGACGGGAAAAAAAGCAACGGGAGUGGGCAGGAGCGGGAACAACAUUAAAAGAUGAUCAUUUUCAGCCGUGUUUAACAACCAGAUGAACAGGUGCGUCCAUUUUUGUAGUCAUCUCUCAGUGAGAGCCAACACUCUUGACCGCGCUAGCAACACAAAAGAACUACAACAGUGGUUUGACUUCCUGUCAGCUGGGAGCGCGGCUGCGCAUUUCUACCCUUCAAGCCAGCAGCGAGGAAACGUAAUUUUGUGACACUCUGUAGUUUUUCAAUCAUUUCUGGAGUCGUGGCGAAUCAAAUCACCUGACCUGUCUGCCCCUGAUAGGCGAAUAAAGCGCUCUGAUUCAUGCUCGGGUCUUCCUACGUGCUUCAAGAGUAAAGUAAACAAUGAUGGAGGCAGAGAGCAGCUUUGGAGGAGAAACAUCUAGCAGUGUGAACAACCCCUUAAAGACCAACCUUUUUAAUAAAGCCUUUGGUUAGUUUUCCUCUAUGCUUUUACUACCUUGCCUCUUACAUUGCAACUCUAUAUUUUUUAUUUUUCUAAUUCUUUUUUUUAUGCCAAUCUGUGACUGUCAUUCUAUUGCUUUUUUAUUGUUGCUGCUCUUUUUUUACUGUGUACUGUAGCACUUUGAGAUUUUUGGUAAAUGUAAAGUGCAUUACAAAUUAAAUUUAUUAUUAUUAUUAUUAUUAUUAUUAUUAUUAUGGAGUGCUUUGGCUCACACUAUCAGCGUUUUCUGUGAGUGUUGCAUAACUUUGGGUGAGCACAGACAUGAACGCACUUCAGCCACGUAUUUAUUUAUUAAUUUUUCUAGUUUUAAGUGCUGGUCUUGUACUGGUACUAGUGCAGCUGUAUACACUUAAAUUUUUCAUAGAACUGAAAGCAUACCAUAGCUAUAUCGUGAUAUAUAUCGUUAUCGUGAUAUAAAAUGAUCCAUAUCGUGAUACACAUUUUUUUCCAUAUCGCCCAGCACUAAUUGUAAUAAAUAAAUUUUGACUAAAGUGAUCCUGAGUCGAAUAAAAAAAGAGAGGAGGAAAUAAGGAAAGAGAGGAGGACAUAGGGAGCAGAGGAGGACAAAAGGGAUCAGAGGAGGAAAUAAAAGAAGAGAGAAGGAAAUAAAAUAAGGGAGGAGAGGAGGACAUAAAAGAGAAGAGGAGGAAAUAAAAGAAGAAGUGUCAGACAGGGGAGUGUGUUCACCUGCAGUCAGGUUUGAGGAAAUAAAACCGUCUGAUGAAGACCAGACCCUCAGGAGAAAACAUGUCAUCAUAACAGAGACGGCAGCAGGAAACAGCGCUGUGACCGACUCAAAACCACUCAACGACGUGAAAAUAAACCAAAGAGGAGCUCGGACAGUUCAGUCCAAACCUGAACAGAAGUCUGCUUCGUUUCCUUCUGAUCAUUUUCAUUAUUUUAUUUUAUGUUUAAGAAAAUUUGAGGUUAGAUAAACUUCCUCUGCAGUCAGCCCGUUUCCCUCAUAUCGACAGUUUUUGAUGCAUGUUUAUGGAAAUAUUUUAGUUUUCCAAAGUGUCGAACCAGGUUUGUGAUUUUUUGACAAAUUAGGAUCAAAAUUCAAUGAAACACUUUGAGAAGAUCUUCAGUGAGACACACACAGAUUUACACAGCCCUCUGCAGCUACAGUUCACUCAUUAAAGGAAGAAUUCAAAGGUUUUAUUGGGUCAUUAUUUUAGUUUUAUUGAAAAUGUUUUAUGUACAGUUUCCUAUUCAAAGUCUAAAUUAACAGAAAGAAGUUUCCAGAGUCUGAACACUUUCAAACACCGACGAUCUCUCAACGCAUGCAUGACACGGCUGAAACCAGAUUGUGGUCAGGGGGGUCUCCAAUCCUUGACCAUGGAGUGUGGGGGGGUCUCAGCAGAGCAAGGGUCUACAUGUUGUUCAGGUAGUCCUCUCCGUAGUCUACUAUCUGUCUCAGGGCGGUCAGGAUUGGUCUGCUCACCUCAUCAGACAUGGAGCACUCAGACUCGUAGUUCUUCACCAGGAAGAUGCAGUUGACAGGGAUCCCCAGGAGGACGCUGAACUGCUCCACCUUCAGGUCACAGAGACGGUCUGGUUACUGGACUCUGAGUAAAGGUCUUUGGACAAUCUAAGGGACUCAGACUCACCUGCUUCUUCAGGUAUUUGCUCUUGUGAAUGUUGCGGAUGUCUCUCCCCACCUCUGGACAGGCUUUGUCCACUUUGGUGAGGAUGGCGAACUGGGGGAUUCCUGCAGACACACAGAGGGGUUCAGACCUCAGACAGCAGGACUCUGGUGACUUAGAGUCCACAGAGCGGGAACUUACCCUGGUCCCUGGCUGCCAGUCUGACCUGUCUUAACUUCUGCACCACCCCAUCAGUCAGCCGAGACACAGUGUCCACAGGGACCACGCAGACCAGGACGUGGACUUUGUCAUCCAAGGUGGGGAUUGGGUUGUAGCCAUGAUCACGCUCUGAGAGCGGGUUUUGAGGAUUAAACUAGAAAAAAAUGAGAUAAAGACAAAAUUAUCUUGAAGACUUAAAAAUAGGCAACUGGACUGUGUAGAGUUGAGAAGAUGUUUCGCCUCUUAUCCAAGAAGCUUCUAGUGUGAGGAGCAGAUAUUUAUCUUACUGGAGAAGGGGACAGACAACGACUGGGAGGAGUUGGAAAGAAUGGGUCGAAGAAACCCAUUUCUGGUUUUUUUAAGACUUAAAAAAGAAUAUAUGAGAAACACGUCUUUUCCACGGGGAAAAAACUGGUGUACUUGAAGGAAAUCGCUGCUUUUGUGGAGGCAGAAAUGAAUAUGCUGAGGAUAUAUCUGUCAACGCAGCCGUAAAUAUCUGUGAAUGACAUUGAGCUUUAGUUUAUGAUAUGAAUCCAUAUGCCAUAAUAAGGUGUUGGUGUCUCUGCAGGUGUAGGUUACCGCCGGUGUCAGAGACAUGGUGCUCGUCGGAGCUCGACUCCCUCUGGAUCACAAAUGUUGAUCAUCAUCAGUUUGAUUGUUUCUUCAGAAACCACAAAAUCUCUCUGAAUGACCCGCUGAUACAUCCACAGAUAACCCUGCAGAUGACCAGCUUCAGUCAUUUCCCCCUCCACAAAAGCAGCUUCAUGACUUUAUUUACUUUAUGACUUUAUUCUCCUAAAUUUACAACUUGAAUCUCUAAAUCUUAAAAGAAAAAAAACUCAAUGUUGUCCUGAUCCUCUGCUGUAGUUUUGUCAGCUUCUUAUUUCUAAUGUUUUUGAUAGUUGUAACACAGCGGAUCAGUUCGUCUCUAAAUCUAUAAUGUUUGGUUUACAGAUUUUAGUGAGUUCAGAGAUCAUGCUCUCAUACAGCCUGAGCUGACUGUCUGCUGAUUUUGGAUUUCUUGUAUUUUCUUUGAAGACGCGCUGUGUCCACAAGCGAGUCCAGCCUCUCACCUGAAAUGCGAAGCUGUGCAGCGGCACGCAAAGAAUUCUGGGAUACCGACAGCACGAAAGCGUGCAUAAAUGCACGCUUGAAAAAGGGCCGGGGGUAGUGUGGUUUUGAGACCGAAUUUGAAGCGCGCUUAGUAUUUUGUACCAAACGGGACACCGUUCGUGCCGCGUGAUGACCUCACGCACGCUUCAGAUGCGCCGUUCGACGGUUGCGGUCUCUGAAAUGGGACACAGGAAGGGUGCAAAACGGCAGUGCACUCAGCUAAGCGCGCUUCUCCCGAUGCGGUCUCUGAAAUGAGACACAGCCAGAGGCUGUGUCUCAUUUCAGAGACCGCAUCGACCUAAGUGCCCUUCUGCACCGUCGAACGGUGCAUUUGAAGUGUGCAUGACGUCACGACGGUGCGAACGGUGUCCCGUUUGGCACGAGAUGCUAAAAAAUGCUAAGCGCGCUUAGCAUGUUUUCAAGCGUGCAUUUAUCCACGCUUUCGUGCCGUCGGUAUCCCAGAAUCCUUUGCGUGCUGCUGCACAGCUGCGCAUUUCAGGUGAGAGGCUGGACUCGCUUGGAGACGCAGCGCGUCUUCAAAGAAAUUACAAGCAAUCCAAAAACAGCAGACAGUCAGCUCAGGCUGUAUGAGAGCAUGAUCUCUGAACUCACUAAAAUCUGUUAACCAAACAUUAUAGAUUUAGAGACGAACUGAUCCGCUCUGCUUCAACUAUCAAAAACAUUAGAAAUGAGAAAGCUGACAAAACUACAGCAGAGUAUCAGGACAACAUUGAGGUUUUUUUCUAUUAAGAUUUAGAGAUUCAAGUUGUAAAUUUAGGAGAAUAAAGUCAUAAAGUAAAUAAAGUCAUAAAGCUGCUUUUGUGGAGGGGGAAAUGACUGAAGCUGGUCAUCUGCAGGGUUAUCUGUGGAUGUAUCAGCGGGUCAUUAAGAGAGAUUUUGUGGUUUCUGAAGAAACAAUCAAACUGAUGAUGAUCAACAUUUGUGAUCCAGAGGGAGUCGAGCUCCGACGAGCACCACGUCUCUGACACCGGCCGUAGCCUACACCUGCAGAGACACCAACACCUUAUUAUGGCAUAUGGAUUCAUAUCAUAAAUUACAGCUCAAUGUCAUUCACGGAUAUUUACGGCUGCAUUGACAGAUAUAUCCUCAGCAUAUUCAUUUCUGCCUCCACAAAAGCAGCGAUUUCCUUCAAGUACACCAGUUUUUUUCCCCGUGGAAAAGACGUAUUUCUCAUAUAUUCUUUUUAAAGUCUUUAUACUUAUGACAAUGUGAUGCUGAUGUGCCAGAGGAUGAAGUAUCUCCUAUCCUCCUUCUAAAUAGGGCCCUCAUACUCCUUCAUACAAAACAAUCAUUGGAUUAAUUUUGUGGGAAUGAUCUGGGCUUGUAUGUAUCUACUAUUUUGUGUCUGUGCAAGGUCGCACAAUUAAAACAAUACAUGCUGCGCUCCGCAGCUUUUUUUCUAAUCAGUCGUGACGUAAGCCUGAGGGCGGGGACAUUUGGAGACCUUCGGAGGACUUCCUGGUGGAGUUGCCAAAUGUCCCCGCCCUCAGGCUCGCGUCACGACUGACUUAAAGGAAACCCGCAGAGCGCAGCAUUUAUUGUUUUAAUUGUGCGACCUUGCACAGACACAAAAUAGUAGAUACAUACAAGCACAAUUCAUCCAAUGAUUGUUUUGUAAGAAGGAGUAUGAGGGCCAUAUUGAGAUUUAAGACUUUAAGGACUUCGAGAUUUAAGUCGUGAAUUUACGAGAAUAAAGUCAUUAAUUUAUGAGAAUGAAGUCAUAACCUGUUAUUUCAGAGAGACUUGCUAAAAUUAGGGCCAUGAAGCAUUUGAAGGAACUGUGCUUCAGUAUAGGUUUCACAAACAAGGAGAUUCUUCAUCCUCUGGCACAUCAGCAUAACAUUGUCAUAAGUAUAAAGACUUUAAAAAGAAUAUAUGAGAAAUACGUCUUUUCCACGGGGGAAAAAACUGGUGUACUUGAAGGAAAUCGCUGCUUUUGUGGAGGCAGAAAUGAAUAUGCUGAGGAUAUAUCUGUCAAUGCAGCCGUUAAUAUCCGUGAAUGACAUUGAGCUUUAGUUUAUGAUAUGAAUCCAUAUGCCAUAAUAAGGUGUUGGUGUCUCUGCAGGUGUAGGCUACGGCCGGUGUCAGAGACGUGGUGCUCGUCGGAGCUCGACUCCCUCUGGAUCACAAAUGUUGAUCAUCAUCAGUUUGAUUGUUUCUUCAGAAACCACAAAAUCUCUCUGAAUGACCCGCUGAUACAUCCACAGAUAACCCUGCAGAUGACCAGCUUCAGUCAUUUCCCCCUCCACAAAAGCAGCUUCAUGACUUUAUUUACUUUAUGACUUUAUUCUCCUAAAUUUACAACUUGAAUCUCUAAAUCUUAAAAGAAAAAAAACUCAAUGUUGUCCUGAUCCUCUGCUGUAGUUUUGUCAGCUUCUUAUUUCUAAUGUUUUUGAUAGUUGUAACACAGCGGAUCAGUUCGUCUCUAAAUCUCUAAUGUUUGGUUUACAGAUUUUAGUGAGUUCAGAGAUCAUGCUCUCAUACAGCCUGAGCUGACUGUCUGAUGGUUUUGGAUUGCUUGUAUUUUCUUCGAAGACGCGCUGUGUCUCCAAGCGAGUCCAGCCUCUCACCUGAAAUGCACAGCUGUGCAGCGGCACGCAAAGAAUUCUGGGAUACCGACGGCACGAAAGCGUGCAUACAUGCACGCUUGAAAACGAGGCGGGGGUAGUGUGGUUUUGAGACCGAAUUUGAAGCGCGCUUAGUAUUUUGUGCCAAACGGGACACCGUUCGUGCCGCGUGGUGACCUCACGUACGCGUCAGAUGCGCCGUUCGAUGGCUGCUGUAUCUGAAAUGGGACACAGGAAGGGCACAGAACGGCGCAAAACGGCGUAAAACGGCUCAAAACGGCAGUGCACUCAGCUAAGCGCCGUUAAGCGCGCUUAUCACGAUGCGGUCUCUGAAAUGAGACACAGCCAGAGUCAUUCUCAAAAUCCCCUCAGCCACAGGAAGUAGUAAUACACCUUAAAACAGGAAGAUGGCGCUGUUGUACACUGGUGUGGUAUCAUGUCCUCACAGACUUGGUUCUGGUUCGAUCAGUGACUGUGGAUUUAACCUCUAUGGUUGGACAGAUUAGACUCUACAGGACCUUCAGUUCAACAAAGUCCUUCAGUGCGUACCUUGUGAUUUUCCUUCACGUGUCCUUUCAUCGCCAGUUUGACGUCGUCCACUUGGACGCCGUUGUCCAGGCUGUUCUCCAGGCCCAUGAUGUCAUUAAAAACCACAGAAUAAAAGCUCGACGCCUGUUUUUCUAUCUUGUAGGUUUUAUACUGAAAGAAGGAGACAGUAAAUGCAUCAGUUAAACAAAUAAAAGUGUCAAUUUAAAAGAUUUUUCAUUUUCUUAAAAAGGAGAUUCAGUCUGAGAGAGUUAGAGAGAGUUAGUUUCUAAAGAGUUUGUUCAUUUGAGUUUUUCAUUAAUUUGUGGAUAUUUUAUGUUUGUCUCUGUCAUUUUGUAAAUUUGUUAAGUCACGUAUAACUGUCUCAGAAGUUUCUGAAGGACCACAAUCAGACGUUCUCUCAGGCUCUAGACCGUCCUACCUCCAGGGUGUAGCUUGUCCCUGAAGUUGCAUCAGUAGCAGCUCGACCGGUCACACGACCCCUGAGAGCGCUGUCCACUGAGUUGAUGAAACUGGACUUUCCUGCACCGACCGGGCCGUGCAGCAGAACCCUCAAGUGACUGACUUGUUUGUUUCGAGGGUGGUAGGCUCCCAGGUACCUAAUGAUGUCCCCGGAGCUCCUGACAAAGCAGAGACAUCAGAUUGUUUUAUCUCAUCUGUUUAGUAUUAAACAAAAGAGCCCUGACCAUAACAAACUACAAUAAAAUACAACAAGACAAAACCAGAUAAAACAGACAAAAAAAAGUUUAAAAAAGAUCAAUGAAAAGAUUAAAUUAUUUCUAAAAAAAGUUAAAAUUUAAAAGGAUAAAAUAAGAUUCAAUAAAAGUGUGAAAUCAGAUCAAAUAAAAUAAGGAAAUAAAAAAAACACAAAUUAAAAACAGGAUAAAAUAAAAUAAAAAGAUAAGACAAAAUAAAAUGAUAAGAUAAAAAGAUAAAAUCAUUUUAAAAAAUGAAAAUUAAGAAAAUUUCAAGAUAAAACAAGAUUAACAGAUUAUACAAGAUAAAAAGUUGAAGCAAGAUAAAACAAAAUAAAAAUAUAGAAUUGAUGAAAAUAAGACAAGAUAAAACAAGAUAAUUUAUAAUAACAUAAGAUUCAAAAAAGAUAAAAUUAUUUUAAAUAAUUUAAAACAAGAUCAUAUAAUAUAUUAAAACUAAUAAAAUAAAAGGAUAAAAGAAGGAAAGAAAAAAGAAAGGUGUGAUAAGCUUUGUUGAAACUAUAUACACUCACCGGCCACUUUAUUGGGUACACCUGUCCAACUGCUCAUUAACACUUAAUUUCUAAUCAGCCAAUCACAUGGCGGCAACUUAGUGCAUUUAGGCAUGUAGACAUGGUCAAGACAAUCUCCUGCAGUUCAAACCGAGCAUCAGUAUGGGGAAGAAAGGUGAUUUGAGUGACUUUGAACGUGGCAUGGUUGUUGGUGCCAGAAGGGCUGGUCUGAGUAUUUCAGAAACUGCUGAUCUACUGGGAUUUUCACACACAACCAUCUCUAGGGUUUACAGAGAAUGGUCCGAAAAAGAAAAAAUAUCCAGUGAGCGGCAGUUCUGUGGGCGGAAAUGCCUUGUUGAUGCCAGAGGUCAGAGGAGAAUGGCCAGACUGGUUCGAGCUGAUAGAAAGGCAACAGUGACUCAAAUAACCACCCGUUACAACCAAGGUAGGCAGAAGAGCAUCUCUGAACGCACAGUACGUCGAACUUUGAGGCAGAUGGGCUACAGCAGCAGAAGACCUUUCAGCUAAGAACAGGAAACUGAGGCUACAAUUUGCACAAGCUCAUCGAAAUUGGACAGUAGAAGAUUGGAAAAACAUUGCCUGGUCUGAUGAGUCUCGAUUUCUGCUGCGACAUUCGGAUGGUAGGGUCAGAAUUUGGCGUCAACAACAUGAAAGCGUGGAUCCAUCCUGCCUUGUAUCAACGGUUCAGGCUGGUGGUGGUGGUGUCAUGGUGUGGGGAAUAUUUUCUUGGCACUCUUUGGGCCCCUUGGUACCAAUUGAGCAUCGUUGCAACGCCACAGCCUACCUGAGUAUUGUUGCUGACCAUGUCCAUCCCUUUAUGACCACAAUGUACCCAACUUCUGAUGGCUACUUUCAGCAGGAUAAUGCGCCAUGUCAUGAAGCUGGAAUCAUCUCAGACUGGUUUCUUGAACGUGUACCUAAUAAAGUGGCCGGUGAGUGUAUAUAUAAAUACACUCACCGGCCACUUUAUUAGGUACACCAUGCUAGUACCGGGUUGGACCCCCUUUUGCCUUCAGAACUGCCUCAAUUCUUCGUGGCAUAGAUUCAACAAGGUGCUGGAAGCAUUCCUCAGAGAGCUUGGUCCAUAUUGACAUGAUGGCAUCACACAGUUGCCGCAGAUUUGUCGGCUGCACAUCCAUGAUGCGAAUCUCCUGUUCCACCACAUCCCAAAGAUGCUCUAUUGGAUUGAGAUCUGGUGACUGUGGAGGCCAUUUGAGUACAGUGAACUCAUUGUCAUGUUCAAGAAACCAGUCUGAGAUGAUUCCAGCUUUAUGACAUGGCGCAUUAUCCUGCUGAAAGUAGCCAUCAGAAGUUGGGUACAUUGUGGUCAUAAAGGGAUGGACAUGGUCAGCAACAAUACUCAGGUAGGCUGUGGCGUUGCAACGAUGCUCAAUUGGUACCAAGGGGCCCAAAGAGUGCCAAGAAAAUAUUCCCCACACCAUGACACCACCACCACCAGCCUGAACCGUUGAUACAAGGCAGGAUGGAUCCAUGCUUUCAUGUUGUUGACGCCAAAUUCUGACCCUACCAUCCGAAUAUCGCAGCAGAAAUCGAGACUCAUCAGACCAGGCAAUGUUUUUCCAAUCUUCUAUUGUCCAAUUUCGAUGAGCUUGUGCAAAUUGUAGCCUCAGUUUCCUGUUCUUAGCUGAAAGGAGUGGCACCCGGCGUGGUCUUCUGCUGCUGUAGCCCAUCUGCCUCAAAGUUCGACGUACUGUGCGUUCAGAGAUGCUCUUCUGCCUACCUUGGUUGUAACGGGUGGUUAUUUGAGACACUGUUGCCUUUCUAUCAGCUCGAACCAGUCUGGCCAUUCUCCUCUGACCUCUGGCAUCAACAAGGCAUUUCCGCCCACAGAACUGCCGCUCACUGGAUAUUUUUUCUUUUUCGGACCAUUCUCUGUAAACCCUAGAGAUGGUUGUGCGUGAAAAUCCCAGUAGAUCAGCAGUUUCUGAAAUACUCAGACCAGCCCUUCUGGCACCAACAACCAUGCCACGUUCAAAGUCACUCAAAUCACCUUUCUUCCCCAUACUGAUGCUCGGUUUGAACUGCAGGAGAUUGUCUUGACCAUGUCUACAUGCCUAAAUGCACUAAGUUGCCGCCAUGUGAUUGGCUGAUUAGAAAUUAAGUGUUAACGAGCAGUUGGACAGGUGUACCUAAUAAAGUGGCCGGUGAGUGUAUAUGUGUAUAUAUGUAUAUAUAUAUAUAUUACUGUGUGUAUAUGCGUGUAUUUGUGUAUAUGUGUGUGUGCGUGUGUCAAUGUGUAUAUGUAUGUCUAUGUGUGUAUGUGUAUGUGUGUGUGUGUGUGUGUGUGUCCUUAGAAUGCUCACUCACUCAUUCAAUCGUCUCCACGGUUGACUCAGACAGGCUGAAGGACAAAAAUGAACAAUAGUGAGAAAAACUGAAAAACAUGGUUACUGAUUAAAGAUCCUGAUCCUCAGAUCUGAGAUCAUGUCAGUAAGAAUUCAGCCUCUUACGGGAAGGUGGAGGAGUUGGAGGAGGUGGAGAAGGUCGAUAAUAUGGAGAAUGUCCAUGUGAUCGUCUGCAUUUUGAUUUUGAUGAGCCCAUGUCUGCAGAGAACAUGUUCACAUAUUAAAACAUGACCUCAGCUGUUUGACCAGUCUCUAAAAUAAAACCUUUGUAGAAGCUCACGGUCUGCAGAUAUUCAGACAUUAUUGAUCUGUUUAAGGCUGAACCAUCAAUGAUAAAUCUGAGAGGUAAUCAGCUGAUAUAAAGAGUUCAAUAUUUCUCCUUUACAUCAACCUAUGAGGAACAAAGUGAUCAUUAUUACAAUAAUCUCCUUAUUCUGAAGUAAAACCCUCCAAACAUGAUGAGACAGCAUGCAACUCUUAAAUCAAUAAAAUCCAGUUUCUACAGAUUAAAAUGGAGCUGGAGGACAGAGUUGGUGUUUCAGUGAGCAUCAGUAAAUGACAGAGAGACUGUAAAAAAAGGUCCUAACAGGUUAAAGUGGCUCUUACCUGCUGCUGUAUCUCUGCUCAGAGUGACUCUGCAGAUCAGCGGGCUGGUGGGUUUUUAUAGAGUCUCCAUACUUUCACUUUCAGUCUCCCUGUUUGAAAUCACUCACAUGAUUUACUGGAAAACUGAAACUGAGCCCAUCCCAGUCAAUGUGUCAAUGAGACAAACUUUAUCUAUGACGCACUUCUUACACAAUGUUGGUGCAACACAAAGAGAUGUACAGAAAAAGAAAAGGAAAGUCAAAAUAAAAACAACAAAAUUUUAAUCAAUAAAUGAGUUUAAAAAAAUAAUAGAUUAAAAAAACUUGAAAUUAAAAACACUUUAGGUGGAGUUUCUGUGGUCUGAGUUAUAACCCUGUCUGAGUUAUAACCCUGUCUGUAGUAUAACCCUGUCUGUAUCAUAAACCUGUCUGUAGGAUGAUCCUGUCUGUAGUAUAACCCUGUCUGUGUUUAAGUCUAAGUUCAUGUGUUCACUCUGGAGUUGUUUGGAGUUUCUUUUCUGUCAGAGACCACCCUCUAAAAACUGAGUUUUUCCUUUGACACAGAAGACUCUGAUAAACAUUCAUUUUCUGUAUUUCAGGAUGAAUUUUGGGUCUCAUCAGGCUGUAACCCUUUUAGUGUUGAUGAUUAUGUUGAAUUAUCCCUAUUUUUUCAGAGCUGAGAGUGGAAAAACUUCGGUUGAAGACAAUUCAUGUUCAGAUGUCCUGAAGGGUGAAAUCAUGUCGAACUCGGUCAGAGGACUUUGUUUAAAGCAGCUACAGAGGGAACAACAGGAGGGUGAAAUAUUAACACAUGAUCACUUUAGACUUUUCAGUCUUUGACUUUCUGUCCAUGUUUGCAGACUGAGAGGUUUCUAAACAUUAUGGUGGAAAGUGUGUUAAAUAACCGUUAUCUGGAGAACAGGAUGUGGCGGUUAGGGAUGUGAGUGUCUGCAUGUCUUUAUUACUCUUUCACUUUCAAUAUGAGCACAAGAACAGCCCUGAUAGAGUGUUUCUCUUUUGGUUAGCAGUCAUUUUGCUGCAGUUCUCCUCUUUAAAGCGUCUCAAAACUGUGAUUUCUUCUGCAGCUCCUGGACUGAUAAACUGCAGAAACUCUGAGUUGUGUUUGUUGAUGGAAGAUGUUUCUGUGCUCAGAUGAAUAAACGACAGAGACACACAGAAACUCUGGAUGAAAACCUUCAGGAGCCCCCCAGUCAGACUGUCCCCCCCUGUUCUGUCUUUCCUGUUUUUCUAACAGGUCUGUGAUUCUUCUCUCUCUCAGCCCGGGUUUGUCGGGGAUUUCUCUUUGCCUGAUAUGAAACUUUCCCUUUCAGUCAGUUUCACCUGCUGCUGCCCUCCACACUCUCUCAGUGUCCUCGGUGUCCUGAAUCAGUUCACAAACAUUUAUUGAGUGUUACACUCAAUAAAUGUUUGUGAACUGAGGAGACGAACUGUUGAAGCUUUGAAGGUGGAAUUCUUUCCCAUUCUUGAUGUACAGCUUCAGUUGCUCAACAGUCCGGGGUCUCUGUUGUCCUAUUUUACGCUUCAUAAUGCUCCACACAUUUUCAAUGGGAAACAGGUCUGGACUGCAGGCAGGCCAGUCGAGUACCCGCACUCUUUAACUACGAAGUCACUCCGUUGUAACACGUGCAGAAUGUGGCGUGGCGUUGUCUCGCUGAAGUAAGCAGGAAGGCUGUCCAUGAAAAAGACGCUGCUUGGAUGGCAGCAUAUGUUGCUCUAAAACCUGUGUGUACCUUUCAGCAUGAAUGUUGCUUUCAGAGAUGUGUAAGUUACCCAGGCCUUGGGCACUAAUGCACCCCCAUACCAUCACAGACGCUGGCUUUUGAACUUUGCGUCUACAACAGUCCGGAUGGUUCUUUUCUGCUUUGGCCCGAAUGACACGACGUCCACUGUUUCCAAAAACAAUCUGAAAUGUGGACUCGUCAGACCACAGAACACUUUUACACUUUGCAUCAGUCCAUCUUCGAUGAGCUCGGGCCCAGAGAAGCCGGCAGCGUUUCUGGAUGUUGUUGAUCAAUGGCUUUCUCUUUGCUUAGUUGAGUUUUAACUUACAGAUGUAUCGACGAACUGUAUUUACUGACAGUGGUUUUCUGAAGUGUUCCUGAGUCCAUGUGAUCAUAUCCUUUACACAAUGAUGUCAGUUUUUGAUACAGUUCCACCUGAGGGGUCGAAGGUCACGGGCAUUCAAAGUUGGUUUCCGGCCGUGUCGCUUAUGUGCAGUGAUUUCUCCAGAUUCUCUGAACCUUUUGAUGAUAUUAUGGACUGUAGUUGAAAUCUCUAAAUUCUUUACAAUUGUACUUUGAGAAACGUUGUUCUUAAACUGUUCGACUAUUUGCUCACGCAGUUGUUCACAAAGUGGUGAACCUCGCCCCAUCCUUGCUUGUGAAUGACUGAGAAUUUUUGGCGAAGCUGCUUUUAUACCCAAUCAUGGCACCCACCUGUUCCCUAUUAGCCUGCUCACCUGUGGGAUGGUCCAAAUAGGUGUUUGAUGAGCAUUCCUCAAAUUUCUCACCUGUCCCGACUUCUUUGUCACGUGUUGCUGCCAUCAGAUUCUGUAUUCAAUUGAAUGUAGGUUGGAAAUGAUUUGCAAAUCGUUGCUGUAAGAAAAAUUGUAUGUGUAUGCUAUCACGUGUAUUUUAUCAUAAUCUAAGUAUUUUAAUCAUCAUUUACUGAAAAUCACUUGGUGUGAAUGCUUGCAGAAUCAUAUCUGUUUCUUUUUAAUGAGCAUGGGAAAGGAGAAGUAUGGCCUUAGAGUUGGGACUGAUACUUUUCCACUUUUAUGAAUCACCUCUCCCAGAUCUGUCUCCCAAAUAGUUUUAAAGGUCCCCUAUUAUGAAAGAUCCACUUUUGGGGUGGUUUUCUAACAAUAAUAUGCAUACCGGUAGGCCUGUCACGAUAACAAAUUUUGCUGGACGAUAAUUGUGCUACAAAUUAUCGCCGAUAAACGAUAUUAUUGACACCAUUUUUUAAAUUAUAGAUAAUGAUAUUAUAUGGCAUAAUAAUGCGAGUACACCAUGUCAAAAGGGAUAAACUUUAAUUUCCACACGAGAACAACACUGGUUGUUUUCGUUGACUAAAAUAUUUCCCUUUUCUCCCACGACGAAGACGUAACGUUGACGAGCUAAACAUAAGUCGGAGAUGACUAAAAUGUGACGAGACGAAAGUGCGUUUACGUUGAUGAGACGAGACGAAAAUGACGAACAGAGUUGCAAAACUCAGUCAGUUAAACGCUAAACAUAUAGGAGCAGCUUCAGUCCGCUCUGACAGCUCUCAUCAGCCUGCUGUGCUCCUCCAACACACAGACACGCACGCGCACACACACACGUGGAGUUUUGUGGUUGACGAAAACAAAACUGGUUUAAAGCCGAAAUAUUCCCACACUUGGGCUGUUGCGUUCGGUUUAGACACCAAAGCUGUCGUGUUCAUUCUGUUAGCUUGCUUUUCACUCACAAUGCUCACUUGCAGCACUGUAUCCAAAAAGUCUGUGUCUGUGUGCCUGUGCGCGCCAGCCCCCUCGUGACAAAGAUACUGAAUGACUGACAGGAGGGUUCACUAACUCCGUUCAUUCCGCUAUAGAGCCAACGCCCCCAGGUGCCGAGAACAAUGCGCAGAGUGAGACCUCUUCUCUCAUCCAGCGUGUUUGGUAGCGAGAGAGGAGGAAAACAAACGCACGUCAAUUAUCGAGGCUGGCAAAAUGACCGACCUCGUUUUUAUUUAUCGAGCGAUAAGGCGAUUUAUUGAUUAUCGCGACAGGCCUACAUACCGGACAUGAAAAAAUUUAAUUCUCUCCCACUCUUGCUUUCCCCUCCUUUCUGAAAACAUGAGCGCAAACGGGCGGAUGGAAAAGCUGUGCGGUUAUGAUGAACUUAAACCCGAUGCUGUGCAAAAAAUAAAAAUGCAUCAAAGUUAAUUUUGUUAUAUUUGACAUACCCAAGGGUGUGAUAGCAUGUAAAAAAUCUUCAGCCUCUGAUUACUUUUUAUAUUGAAAUUCUGUCAUUUUGUGUGAUUUUUUCUCUUUCCACCAAAUCAGUGACAUCACCUCUUAAUUUGGCAUUCAAGGGUUAAAAUUCAUAAUGAAAUAAUAAUAAAAAAUGUUAUGAUAAGGACUGAGCUUGACGAAUAGAUUUGAGCAAAAAAAAAAAAUUGUCUGGUAUGUUUUUAUAGCAGCUAAAGUAAGUG
RNAcentral lists this long non-coding RNA (23089 nucleotides) under Xyrichtys novacula (pearly razorfish). Lineage: Eukaryota; Metazoa; Chordata; Actinopteri; Labriformes; Labridae. The record is from RNAcentral.